AACGAACGCUGGCGGCAUGCCUAACACAUGCAAGUCGAACGAAGUCUUCGGACUUAGUGGCGCACGGGUGCGUAACGCGUGGGAAUCUGCCCUUGGGUGCGGAAUAACUUCUCGAAAGGGAUGCUAAUACCGCAUAAUGUCGUAAGACCAAAGAUUUAUCGCCCAAGGAUGAGCCCGCGUAAGAUUAGCUAGUUGGUGGGGUAAAAGCCUACCAAGGCGACGAUCUUUAGCUGGUCUGAGAGGAUGAUCAGCCACACUGGGACUGAGACACGGCCCAGACUCCUACGGGAGGCAGCAGUGGGGAAUAUUGGACAAUGGGCGAAAGCCUGAUCCAGCAAUGCCGCGUGAGUGAUGAAGGCCCUAGGGUUGUAAAGCUCUUUACCAGGGAUGAUAAUGACAGUACCUGGAGAAUAAGCUCCGGCUAACUCCGUGCCAGCAGCCGCGGUAA
RNAcentral lists this ribosomal RNA (448 nucleotides) under uncultured bacterium. RNAcentral's name for it is "bacterial SSU rRNA". It matches the Rfam family "Bacterial small subunit ribosomal RNA", at positions 29 to 523 of the family's 1533-position model. The record is from RNAcentral.